RNAcentral lists this ribosomal RNA (491 nucleotides) under uncultured bacterium. RNAcentral's name for it is "partial 16S ribosomal RNA". It matches the Rfam family "Bacterial small subunit ribosomal RNA", at positions 29 to 507 of the family's 1533-position model. The record is from RNAcentral.
AUUGAACGCUGGCGGCAUGCUUUACACAUGCCAGUCGAACGGUAACAGGCCUUCGGGUGCUGACGAGUGGCGAACGGGUGAGUAAUGCAUCGGAACGUACCCAGAGGUGGGGGAUAACGCAGCGAAAGCUGUGCUAAUACCGCAUGUGAUCUGAGGAUGAAAGCGGGGGACCGAGCAGCAAUGUUUGGCCUCGCGCCUUUGGAGCGGCCGAUGUCGGAUUAGCUAGUUGGUGGGGUAAAGGCCUACCAAGGCGACGAUCCGUAGCUGGUCUGAGAGGACGGCAGCCCCCAUGGGACUGAGACACGGCCCAGGACCCUUAGGGAGGGAGCCGGGGGGAAUUUUUGACAAUGGGGGGCAACCUGAACCCAGAAUGCCGGGGGCGGGGAAAAAGCCCUCGGGGUUGAAACCGGGUUUGGCAGGAAAGAAACCGUUUCCGCCAAUACCGGGCGCUAAUGACGGUACCUGCAGAAUAAGCACCGGCUAACUACGUG